Molecule: ribosomal RNA, 253 nt
Filed under: uncultured bacterium
Lineage: Bacteria
Description: partial 16S ribosomal RNA
Rfam family: Bacterial small subunit ribosomal RNA
Source: RNAcentral
UACGUAGGGAGCAAGCGUUGUUCGGAUUUACUGGGCGUAAAGGGCGCGUAGGCGGCCUGUCAAGUCAACUGUGAAAUCUCCGGGCUUAACUCGGAACGGUCAGUUGAUACUGUCAGGCUAGAGUGCAGAAGGGGCAAUCGGAAUUCUUGGUGUAGCGGUGAAAUGCGUAGAUAUCGUAAGGAAGACCAGUGGCGAAGGCGGGUCUCUGGACAGUUCCUGACGCUGAGGCACGAAGGUCAGGGGAGCAAACGGG